UAAAGUUCUGUGAUGACACUAUUGUGGACUAGAGUUUCUGAUUGGGGCACUUCACCCUAAUAUUUGAUUACAAACCCUUGGCUGUCUGAGAACUUUU
Molecule: small nucleolar RNA, 97 nt
Organism: Papaver somniferum (opium poppy)
Lineage: Eukaryota; Viridiplantae; Streptophyta; Magnoliopsida; Ranunculales; Papaveraceae
Product: small nucleolar RNA Z157/R69/R10
Exons: 1
Source: RefSeq, a predicted model, not a curated record